AUGAUUGGAAUUGGCGUUAGUGGCCACUUGAUGAGAUGCUCAACAAUAUUUAUUUUUUUCAGAAAGAAUUUUAUGUACCACAUACAAAUCAACCUCCAUGCCAUAUCUAGAGCUUCUAAAUCAACAACUACGGUUACUAACAAAAAUCUGGAGAUUUGCAACCAUUCUAUGCGCCCCGGUUGUCACAGCCAUUCAAUUGUCUUGAAAUUGCGCCAUUCAAUGUACUCCCUCCGUCCGGAAAUACUUGUCAGAGGAACGGAUGUAUCUAGAUGUAUUUUAGUUCUAGAUACAUCCAUUUUUAUGCAUUUCUUCGACAAGUAUUUCCGGACGGAGGGAGUAUAUGGUGUUCUUUAA
Molecule: ribosomal RNA, 354 nt
Filed under: Triticum aestivum (bread wheat)
Lineage: Eukaryota; Viridiplantae; Streptophyta; Magnoliopsida; Poales; Poaceae
Description: partial small subunit ribosomal RNA
Rfam family: MIR1120/MIR1122 microRNA precursor family (bases 219-343)
Source: RNAcentral